GAUGAAGAACGUAGCGAAAUGCGAUAAGUAGUGUGGAUUGCAGAAUUCAGUGAAUCAUCGAAUCUUUGAACGCAUAUUGCGCCCCUUGGUAUUCCAUGGGGCAUGCCUGUUCGAGCGUCAUUUGUACCUUCAAGCUCUGCUUGGUGUUGGGUGUUUGUCUCGCCUCUGCGUGUAGACUCGCCUCAAAACAAUUGGCAGCCGGCGUAUUGAUUUCGGAGCGCAGUACAUCUCGCGCUUUGCACUCAUAACGACGACGUCCAAAAGUACAUUUUUACACUCUUGACCUCGGAUCAGGUAGGGAUACCCGCUGAACUUAAGCAUAUCAAUAAGCGGAGGA
RNAcentral lists this unclassified non-coding RNA (337 nucleotides) under soil metagenome. RNAcentral describes it as "partial contains 5.8S ribosomal RNA, internal transcribed spacer 2, and large subunit ribosomal RNA". The stretch from base 1 to 120 matches the Rfam family "5.8S ribosomal RNA", at positions 35 to 154 of the family's 154-position model. The record is from RNAcentral.